CGGAGCGUAGCGCAGUUGGUAGCGCGUCAGCAUGGGGUGUUGAAGGCCGCUGGUUCAAAUCCAGUCGCUCCGACCA
This 76-nucleotide transfer RNA is filed under the name Petrotoga sp. 9PW.55.5.1. Its description in RNAcentral is "tRNA-Pro". It matches the Rfam family "tRNA". Rfam says of the family: Transfer RNA (tRNA) molecules are approximately 80 nucleotides in length. The record is from RNAcentral. Lineage: Bacteria; Thermotogati; Thermotogota; Thermotogae; Petrotogales; Petrotogaceae.